This 69-nucleotide transfer RNA is filed under the name Ictidomys tridecemlineatus (thirteen-lined ground squirrel). RNAcentral's name for it is "Spermophilus tridecemlineatus (thirteen-lined ground squirrel) tRNA". It matches the Rfam family "tRNA". Rfam says of the family: Transfer RNA (tRNA) molecules are approximately 80 nucleotides in length. The record is from Rfam by way of RNAcentral. Lineage: Eukaryota; Metazoa; Chordata; Mammalia; Rodentia; Sciuridae.
AGUGUUGUAGCUCAGAGGUAGAGCACUUGUUUCACAAGUAUUAGGCACUGGGUUUGAUCCUCAGCACUA